Molecule: ribosomal RNA, 1327 nt
Filed under: Micrococcus luteus
Lineage: Bacteria; Bacillati; Actinomycetota; Actinomycetes; Micrococcales; Micrococcaceae
Description: bacterial SSU rRNA
Rfam family: Bacterial small subunit ribosomal RNA
Source: RNAcentral
AUGAAGCCCAGCUUGCUGGGUGGAUUAGUGGCGAACGGGUGAGUAACACGUGAGUAACCUGCCCUUAACUCUGGGAUAAGCCUGGGAAACUGGGUCUAAUACCGGAUAGGAGCGUCCACCGCAUGGUGGGUGUUGGAAAGAUUUAUCGGUUUUGGAUGGACUCGCGGCCUAUCAGCUUGUUGGUGAGGUAAUGGCUCACCAAGGCGACGACGGGUAGCCGGCCUGAGAGGGUGACCGGCCACACUGGGACUGAGACACGGCCCAGACUCCUACGGGAGGCAGCAGUGGGGAAUAUUGCACAAUGGGCGCAAGCCUGAUGCAGCGACGCCGCGUGAGGGAUGACGGCCUUCGGGUUGUAAACCUCUUUCAGUAGGGAAGAAGCGAAAGUGACGGUACCUGCAGAAGAAGCACCGGCUAACUACGUGCCAGCAGCCGCGGUAAUACGUAGGGUGCGAGCGUUAUCCGGAAUUAUUGGGCGUAAAGAGCUCGUAGGCGGUUUGUCGCGUCUGUCGUGAAAGUCCGGGGCUUAACCCCGGAUCUGCGGUGGGUACGGGCAGACUAGAGUGCAGUAGGGGAGACUGGAAUUCCUGGUGUAGCGGUGGAAUGCGCAGAUAUCAGGAGGAACACCGAUGGCGAAGGCAGGUCUCUGGGCUGUAACUGACGCUGAGGAGCGAAAGCAUGGGGAGCGAACAGGAUUAGAUACCCUGGUAGUCCAUGCCGUAAACGUUGGGCACUAGGUGUGGGGACCAUUCCACGGUUUCCGCGCCGCAGCUAACGCAUUAAGUGCCCCGCCUGGGGAGUACGGCCGCAAGGCUAAAACUCAAAGGAAUUGACGGGGGCCCGCACAAGCGGCGGAGCAUGCGGAUUAAUUCGAUGCAACGCGAAGAACCUUACCAAGGCUUGACAUGUUCUCGAUCGCCGUAGAGAUACGGUUUCCCCUUUGGGGCGGGUUCACAGGUGGUGCAUGGUUGUCGUCAGCUCGUGUCGUGAGAUGUUGGGUUAAGUCCCGCAACGAGCGCAACCCUCGUUCCAUGUUGCCAGCACGUAAUGGUGGGGACUCAUGGGAGACUGCCGGGGUCAACUCGGAAGGAAGGUGAGGACGACGUCAAAUCAUCAUGCCCCUUAUGUCUUGGGCUUCACGCAUGCUACAAUGGCCGGUACAAUGGGUUGCGAUACUGUGAGGUGGAGCUAAUCCCAAAAAGCCGGUCUCAGUUCGGAUUGGGGUCUGCAACUCGACCCCAUGAAGUCGGAGUCGCUAGUAAUCGCAGAUCAGCAACGCUGCGGUGAAUACGUUCCCGGGCCUUGUACACACCGCCCGUCAAGUCAC